UACCGUAAACCGAUGUGACUUGGAUGUCCUUCACACGAUUCCUAAAAAACUCGACUCAAUUAUAAAACUUGGCAAAGACAAACUUGAAAACAUGAAGGAAACAGGUGUAGUUUAUAAAAUUGACUGUAACGACUGUAAUGUGUUCUAUAUAGGUCAAACAUUAAGAUACCUGAAAACUCGUGUGAAGGAGCAUCGCAGUGACAUUAAAAAAAUGAGAGCAAGUUUUCCGUAGUCAGCAAGCACCGAUUGACGCACGGGCAUGAUUUUAAAUGGUCCACCGCUGAGGUUUUGCAUAGGGAGAGAAAUGUGAGGAAGAGAGAGUUAGCGGAGAUGUUCUAUAUUAAAAAACAUAACAAUACGAUAAAUCUCAAAAAAGACACUGAAAAUCUUAAUCCGUUAUAUGACUGAAUUAUAAGAGCUACAUAACAUUUCUCUCUCCGUGCGUAUGUUUUUCUUCCUGUGACCCACUCGUGUAUUCAUUAUUUUCAAAGUAGUCGGACGCCGUCCUUUGACUCGGAACGACUGCUCCUGCAUGUCUCCGUUCUGGUUAUUUCUUAAUCCGGUUCUACAUCGCACUAUUAAUUGAGGAUGGAUCGCGGCUCCUUUAGAUUAAUAUUUAUAUUCUUGAAAUUUGACAAAGUGCUAAAACUGCAAUGAAAUUACGUGCGGCUAAUCUCUAUGAGAUAGUACUCUUGAUAAGGACACAAAACGAGUGUCGAAACGUUGAGGAAUGAACUAAAAAGUUGCCAUAUAGCAUCAUAUAGCAUCACAGGUUUGCGCGAUUUUGUUCAGACACGCUUUGCUAUCUGGUUUCAGUAUGUUUUUUGCCAUUCGAGUAAUAACUUGUAUAUUUCAGAUUCUAUGGAAAAAUGAAGUUCAGCUGCGUGAUAUUUAUUUGUCCAUUGGUCAUAGCAUCAGUCAUGGCAAUGGUGCAAUUUGUCCAGUAAAAUUAGGUUUGAAAAUGGCAAAACGGAUUGACAAGCCAAUUUUUUGAGGGUGAGUAGAGGGUCAUAGGAGAUGCCCAAAUUCACAAAAUUCCAACAAAAUUUCCCUGUGCGUCGGCGGCCAUCUUGAAAAUAGGGAAGCUAUAAAAUUAUACAAAACUUUUUUUGAUGGAAGUCUUGAUUCACGAGAAAUCUCAAUGCAAAAGUUAAAAUGGGACCCUAUAUAUAGGGUAACUCUGGUAUUUACGCCGCGCAGGAAUUUACGCCGUAGACGUUAGAAAAAAUGGAAGGAAUGAAGGUAUUUAUUCGCAAUUAUUCUCUUAUGUGUCUUUAUGCCAUAUUAGUA
Temnothorax curvispinosus is the source of this 1290-nucleotide long non-coding RNA. RefSeq lists it as uncharacterized. The transcript is spliced from 7 exons. The record is from RefSeq and is a predicted model, not a curated record. NCBI's taxonomy places the organism in Eukaryota, Metazoa, Arthropoda, Insecta, Hymenoptera, Formicidae.